UACGUAGGGGGCAAGCGUUAUCCGGAUUUAUUGGGUGUAAAGGGCGUGUAGGCGGGAAAGCAAGUCAGAUGUGAAAACUCAGGGCUCAACCCUGAGCCUGCAUUUGAAACUGUUUUUCUUGAGUGCUGGAGAGGCAAUCGGAAUUCCGUGUGUAGCGGUGAAAUGCGUAGAUAUUAGGAGGAACACCAGUGGCGAAGGCGGCCUGCUGGGCUUUUACUGACGCUGAGGCUCGAAAGUGUGGGGAGCAAACAGG
This 253-nucleotide ribosomal RNA is filed under the name uncultured Eubacteriales bacterium. RNAcentral describes it as "uncultured Clostridiales bacterium partial 16S ribosomal RNA". It matches the Rfam family "Bacterial small subunit ribosomal RNA", at positions 524 to 776 of the family's 1533-position model. Lineage: Bacteria; Bacillati; Bacillota; Clostridia; Eubacteriales. The record is from RNAcentral.